RNAcentral lists this transfer RNA (77 nucleotides) under Clostridioides difficile. RNAcentral's name for it is "tRNA-His". It matches the Rfam family "tRNA". Rfam says of the family: Transfer RNA (tRNA) molecules are approximately 80 nucleotides in length. Their secondary structure includes four short double-helical elements and three loops (D, anti-codon, and T loops). Further hydrogen bonds mediate the characteristic L-shaped molecular structure. tRNAs have two regions of fundamental functional importance: the anti-codon, which is responsible for specific mRNA codon recognition, and the 3' end, to which the tRNAs corresponding amino acid is attached (by aminoacyl-tRNA synthetases). tRNAs cope with the degeneracy of the genetic code in two manners: having more than one tRNA (with a specific anti-codon) for a particular amino acid; and 'wobble' base-pairing, i.e. permitting non-standard base-pairing at the 3rd anti-codon position. Lineage: Bacteria; Bacillati; Bacillota; Clostridia; Peptostreptococcales; Peptostreptococcaceae. The record is from RNAcentral.
GUGGGUAUAGCUCAGUUGGUUAGAGCGCCAGAUUGUGGCUCUGGAGGUCGUAGGUUCGACUCCUAUUACCGCUACUA